Molecule: microRNA precursor, 145 nt
Organism: Gossypium arboreum
Lineage: Eukaryota; Viridiplantae; Streptophyta; Magnoliopsida; Malvales; Malvaceae
Rfam family: MIR7502 microRNA precursor family
Source: Rfam
UGUUAAAAAAUUUAUCCAUUUUUACUGUUAAAAAUUAGUGUGGUUAACAAAAUAACCAGACAAAUACGCGUGACGUGUCAUGCGUACCUCAUUCUGACAUAUAUAGACAAAUUUUUAAUAGUAGAAAUAGAUGAAAUUUUUAAUA